This is a small nucleolar RNA of Pistacia vera, 106 nucleotides long. NCBI's taxonomy places the organism in Eukaryota, Viridiplantae, Streptophyta, Magnoliopsida, Sapindales, Anacardiaceae. The record is from RefSeq and is a predicted model, not a curated record.
AAACCAUGGUGUGGACACAUUCUUAGUAGUUCCUUAUAUCUCUCCCAUGCUUCAUAAGUGACUCGUUCUCCUCCUAUAGAAAUGAUGUGAUAUCAUUUCUCAUCUU